This 253-nucleotide ribosomal RNA is filed under the name uncultured bacterium. Its description in RNAcentral is "partial 16S ribosomal RNA". It matches the Rfam family "Bacterial small subunit ribosomal RNA", at positions 524 to 776 of the family's 1533-position model. The record is from RNAcentral.
UACGGGGGGGGCAAGCGUUGUUCGGAAUUACUGGGCGUAAAGGGCUCGUAGGCGGCCAACUAAGUCGGACGUGAAAUCCCCAGGCUCAACCUGGGAACUGCGUCCGAUACUGGAUGGCUUGAAUCCGGGAGAGGGAUGCAGAAUUCCAGGUGUAGCAGUGAAAUGCGUAGAUAUCUGGAGGAAUACCGGUGGCGAAGGCGGCAUCCUGGACCGGCAUUGACGCUGAGGAGCGAAAGCCAGGGGAGCAAACGGG